UUCGUUUUGUUUUUUGUUAUUGCUAAAGUUCUUGUUAAUUUGUUAUUUGUUUUCGUUUGUAAGUGUUGAAUCCCAGUUUUUGUUAGGUUUUUGUUAAGUUUUACUCAUUGUUUACUUGUUGUUUCAAUAUGAGUGAAAUUCCAAAAAGAUAUUGUGUUUUUGGCUGUGACCCUUUAGUCACACUUGGUGUACCCAAACAUCGCUUCCCUCAUCCCGAGAAAAAUCCUGAUUUGUUUGAUGCUUGGGUCUCAGUCAUAGGAGAAAGAGUCAAAGAAACUGAUCGUAUGAAAAUAUACAAGAACAAAAGAGUAUGUGACCAACAUUUUGAUCCAAAACACAAAAUAUCUGGAAGACGUUUAAAGCAGUCUGCAAUCCCAUCAAUAAAUUUACAUCGUGUGCGGCAAAGCAGUUCUACAUUCAUACAGGCGGAUCACAGCUACACUCAUCCGCAAAGGGAAUAUGUCCAACCUGUGGCAUUGACGGACAUAACAAACUUACCGGGACCAUCUAGGCUACCAGACCUACCAGAAAUACCUAUGCCAUCAGGAUCUACAAAAACAACAUGUCCGGUCAUUGCUGAAAAAUCCCAAGAGAGAAAACCGCGAAG
Molecule: long non-coding RNA, 607 nt
Organism: Cydia splendana
Lineage: Eukaryota; Metazoa; Arthropoda; Insecta; Lepidoptera; Tortricidae
Exons: 3
Source: RefSeq, a predicted model, not a curated record